This 404-nucleotide ribosomal RNA is filed under the name Bacillota bacterium. RNAcentral's name for it is "Firmicutes bacterium partial 16S ribosomal RNA". It matches the Rfam family "Bacterial small subunit ribosomal RNA", at positions 355 to 776 of the family's 1533-position model. The record is from RNAcentral. Lineage: Bacteria; Bacillati; Bacillota.
UGGGGAAUAUUGGACAAUGGGCGCAAGCCUGAUCCAGCCAUGCCGCGUGAGUGAUGAAGGCCCUAGGGUUGUAAAGCUCUUUCGCCAGGGACGAUAAUGACGGUACCUGGAUAAGAAGCCCCGGCUAACUUCGUGCCAGCAGCCGCGGUAAUACGAAGGGGGCUAGCGUUGUUCGGAAUCACUGGGCGUAAAGCGCAUGCAGGCGGAUCGCUAAGUCGGGGGUGAAAGCCCGAGGCUCAACCUCGGAACUGCCUUCGAUACUGACGAUCUUGAGUCCGGGAGAGGUGAGUGGAACUCCGAGUGUAGAGGUGAAAUUCGUAGAUAUUCGGAAGAACACCAGUGGCGAAGGCGGCUCACUGGCCCGGUACUGACGCUGAGAUGCGAAAGCGUGGGGAGCAAACAGG